This 253-nucleotide ribosomal RNA is filed under the name uncultured bacterium. RNAcentral's name for it is "partial 16S ribosomal RNA". It matches the Rfam family "Bacterial small subunit ribosomal RNA", at positions 524 to 776 of the family's 1533-position model. The record is from RNAcentral.
UACGAAGGGUGCAAACGUUGCUCGGAAUUAUUGGGCGUAAAGCGCACGUAGGCGGCUUGGCAAGUCGGAUGUGAAAUCCCUCGGCUCAACCAAGGAAGUGCAUCCGAAACUGCUGAGCUUGAGUACUUAAGAGGAUCGCGGAAUUCCCGGUGUAGAGGUGAAAUUCGUAGAUAUCGGGAGGAACACCAGUGGCGAAGGCGGCUACCUGGACCAGCACUGACACUGAGGCACGAAAGCGUGGGGAGCAAACAGG